GAUGAAGAACGUAGCGAAAUGCGAUACUUGGUGUGAAUUGCAGAAUCCCGUGAACCAUCGAGUCUUUGAACGCAAGUUGCGCCCGAAGCCAUCAGGUUGAGGGCACGUCUGCCUGGGCGUCACAUAUCGUUGCCCAAUGCCUAUUGCAGUGCAAUAGGAAUUUCUAGGGCGAAUGAUGGCUUCCCGUGAGCGUUGUUGCCUCGCGGUUGGUUGAAAAUCGAGUCCUUGGUAGGGUGUGCCAUGGUAGAUGGUGGUCGAGUUAGAACGAUACCGAUCAUGUGCAUGCUCCCCAAAAUAUGGCCUCUAUGACCCACACGCGUCUUGUGACGCUCAUGACGAGACCUCAGGUCAGGCGGGGCUACCCGCUGAAUUUAAGCAUAUCAAUAAGCGGAGGA
Molecule: unclassified non-coding RNA, 395 nt
Filed under: soil metagenome
Description: partial contains 5.8S ribosomal RNA, internal transcribed spacer 2, and large subunit ribosomal RNA
Rfam family: 5.8S ribosomal RNA (bases 1-122)
Source: RNAcentral